This 460-nucleotide ribosomal RNA is filed under the name uncultured bacterium. Its description in RNAcentral is "partial 16S ribosomal RNA". It matches the Rfam family "Bacterial small subunit ribosomal RNA", at positions 338 to 795 of the family's 1533-position model. The record is from RNAcentral.
CCUACGGGGUGCAGCAGUGAGGAAUAUUGGUCAAUGGCCGUAAGGCUGAACCAGCCAAGUCGCGUGAAGGAAGAAGGAUCUAUGGUUUGUAAACUUCUUUUGUAGGGGAAUAAAGGUAUCCACGUGUGGAUAUUUGCAUGUACUUUAUGAAUAAGGAUCGGCUAACUCCGUGCCAGCAGCCGCGGUAAUACGGAGGAUCCGAGCGUUAUCCGGAUUUAUUGGGUUUAAAGGGAGCGUAGAUGGGUUGUUAAGUCAGUUGUGAAAGUUUGCGGCUCAACCGUAAAAUUGCAAUUGAUACUGGCAGUCUUGAGUACAGUUGAGGUAAGCGGAAUUCGUGGUGUAGCGGUGAAAUGCUUAGAUAUCACGAAGAACCCCGAUUGCGAAGGCAGCUCACUGGACUGCAACUGACACUGAUGCUCGAAAGUGUGGGUAUCAAACAGGAUUAGAUACCCGUGUAGUC